This 429-nucleotide ribosomal RNA is filed under the name Bacteroidota bacterium. RNAcentral describes it as "Bacteroidetes bacterium partial 16S ribosomal RNA". It matches the Rfam family "Bacterial small subunit ribosomal RNA", at positions 355 to 776 of the family's 1533-position model. The record is from RNAcentral. Lineage: Bacteria; Pseudomonadati; Bacteroidota.
UAGGGAAUCUUCCGCAAUGGACGCAAGUCUGACGGAGCAACGCCGCGUGAGUGAAGAAGGAUUUCGGUUCGUAAAACUCUGUUGUUAGAGAAGAACAGCGCAUAGAGUAACUGUUAUGCGUGUGACGGUAUCUAACCAGAAAGCCACGGCUAACUACGUGCCAGCAGCCGCGGUAGUACGUAGGUGGCAAGCGUUGUCCGGAUUUAUUGGGCGUAAAGCGAGCGCAGGCGGUCAAUUAAGUCUGAUGUGAAAGCCCCCGGCUCAACCGGGGAGGGUCAUUGGAAACUGGUUGACUUGAGUGCAGAAGAGGAGAGUGGAAUUCCAUGUGUAGCGGUGAAAUGCGUAGAUAUAUGGAGGAACACCAGUGGCGAAGGCGACUCUCUGGUCUGUUACUGACGCUGAGGUUCGAAAGCGUGGGUAGCAAACAGG